CGCGGCCUAUCAGCUUGUUGGUGGGGUAACGGCCUACCAAGGCGACGACGGGUAGCCGGCCUGAGAGGGCGACCGGCCACACUGGGACUGAGACACGGCCCAGACUCCUACGGGAGGCAGCAGUGGGGAAUAUUGCGCAAUGGGCGAAAGCCUGACGCAGCGACGCCGCGUGAGGGAUGAAGGCCUUCGGGUUGUAAACCUCUUUCAGCAGGGACGAAGCGAAAGUGACGGUACCUGCAGAAGAAGCACCGGCCAACUACGUGCCAGCAGCCGCGGUAAUACGUAGGGUGCAAGCGUUGUCCGGAAUUAUUGGGCGUAAAGAGCUCGUAGGCGGCCUGCCGCGUCGGCUGUGAAAACCCAGGGCCCAACCCUGGGCCUGCAGUCGAUACGGGCAGGCUAGAGUCCGGCAGGGGAGACUGGAAUUCCUGGUGUAGCGGUGAAAUGCGCAGAUAUCAGGAGAAACACCGGUGGCGAAGGCGGGUCUCUGGGCCGGAACUGACGCUGAGGAGCGAAAGCGUGGGGAGCGAACAGGAUUAGAUACCCUGGUAGUCCACGCCGUAAACGUUGGGCGCUAGGUGUGGGGAACCUUCCACGUUCUCCGUGCCGCAGCUAACGCAUUAAGCGCCCCGCCUGGGGA
This 637-nucleotide ribosomal RNA is filed under the name uncultured bacterium. RNAcentral's name for it is "bacterial SSU rRNA". It matches the Rfam family "Bacterial small subunit ribosomal RNA", at positions 232 to 879 of the family's 1533-position model. The record is from RNAcentral.